UGAAGAGCGAAAUGUAAUGCGAUCUGCAUAGACCUGUGAGACAUGGAGUAUUUGAACGCACAUGGCGCCCAGAGCAUCUGGGCAUGGAGGAGUGAGGGUUGAAUGCAGUGGGCAUCCAUCGCUGGAUGGCCGAGAUGGGGUCUGAACGGGGGGUGCACCAGAUGCACCGACGACCGUUGGCCUUGAAAGCGAGCAGGGUGGCAUCAGGACACACCGUGAGACAUGCCCCGUGCACACUUGCAGUGGGUCAGUGAUGCGCCCUGUGCGGUGCACUGCUACUGGGUGCACCAGGUGCAUGCAAUCAGCACACCAGGCACACACACCAGGCAGCCACCAGGCACAGCCACCACACCCAACCUCACCCCUCCAAGACCACCCGCUCAACUUAA
This 389-nucleotide unclassified non-coding RNA is filed under the name uncultured fungus. RNAcentral's name for it is "sequence contains ITS1". The stretch from base 1 to 101 matches the Rfam family "5.8S ribosomal RNA", at positions 49 to 154 of the family's 154-position model. The record is from RNAcentral. Lineage: Eukaryota; Fungi.